CGGGUGGUAAUGCCGGAUGCUCCGACAUGACGCAUGUCGUGUCGGGAAAGAUUCAUCGGUAUGGGAUGGGGUCGCGUCCUAUCAGCUUGAUGGCGGGGUAACGGCCCACCAUGGCUUCGACGGGUAGCCGGCCUGAGAGGGCGACCGGCCACAUUGGGACUGAGAUACGGCCCAGACUCCUACGGGAGGCAGCAGUGGGGAAUAUUGCACAAUGGGCGCAAGCCUGAUGCAGCGACGCCGCGUGCGGGAUGACGGCCUUCGGGUUGUAAACCGCUUUUGACUGGGAGCAAGCCCUUCGGGGUGAGUGUACCUUUCGAAUAAGCACCGGCUAACUACGUGCCAGCAGCCGCGGUAAUACGUAGGGUGCAAGCGUUAUCCGGAAUUAUUGGGCGUAAAGGGCUCGUAGGCGGUUCGUCGCGUCCGGUGUGAAAGUCCAUCGCUUAACGGUGGAUCCGCGCCGGGUACGGGCGGGCUUGAGUGCGGUAGGGGAGACUGGAAUUCCCGGUGUAACGGUGGAAUGUGUAGAUAUC
Molecule: ribosomal RNA, 530 nt
Filed under: Bifidobacterium adolescentis
Lineage: Bacteria; Bacillati; Actinomycetota; Actinomycetes; Bifidobacteriales; Bifidobacteriaceae
Also listed under: 1 other name
Description: bacterial SSU rRNA
Rfam family: Bacterial small subunit ribosomal RNA
Source: RNAcentral